This 381-nucleotide ribosomal RNA is filed under the name uncultured Halobacteria archaeon. Its description in RNAcentral is "bacterial SSU rRNA". It matches the Rfam family "Archaeal small subunit ribosomal RNA", at positions 471 to 851 of the family's 1478-position model. Lineage: Archaea; Methanobacteriati; Methanobacteriota; Halobacteria. The record is from RNAcentral.
UAACACCAGCGCCACAAGUGGGAACCACGAUUAUUGGGCUUAAAGCGUUCGUAGCCGGUUUGAUAAGUUCUUUGUGAAAUCGUUGCCCUUAAUGCAACGGCGUGCAGAGAAUACUGUCGAACUAGGGACCGGGAGGGGUCAGGAGUAUGCCAGGGGGAGCGGUAAAAUGCUAUAAUCCUUGGUGGACUACCUUUGGCGAAGGCGCCUGACUAGAACGGGUCCGACGGUGAGGAACGAAAGCUAGGGGAGCGAUCCGGAUUAGAUACCCGAGUAGUCCUAGCUGUAAACGCUGCGAGCUAGAUAUUGCGUUUUCUUCGUGAAAGCGCAGUGUCGGAGCGAAAGUGUUAAGCUCGCCGCCUGGGAAGUAUAGUCGCAAGACCG